This 491-nucleotide ribosomal RNA is filed under the name uncultured bacterium. RNAcentral describes it as "partial 16S ribosomal RNA". It matches the Rfam family "Bacterial small subunit ribosomal RNA", at positions 29 to 506 of the family's 1533-position model. The record is from RNAcentral.
AGUGAACGCUGGCGGUAGGCCUAACACAUGCAAGUCGAACGGCAGCACAGUAAGAGCUUGCUCUUACGGGUGGCGAGUGGCGGACGGGUGAGGAAUACAUCGGAAUCUACUUUUUCGUGGGGGAUAACGUAGGGAAACUUACGCUAAUACCGCAUACGACCUACGGGUGAAAGCAGGGGAUCUUCGGACCUUGCGCGAUUGAAUGAGCCGAUGUCGGAUUAGCUAGUUGGCGGGGUAAAGGCCCACCAAGGCGACGAUCCGUAGCUGGUCUGAGGGGAUGAUCAGCACCACGGGAGCGAGGACACGGUCCAGAAUCCGACGGGAGGCAGCGGGGGGGAAUAUAGGACAAGGGGCGCAAGCCUGAUCCAGCCAUACCGCGUGGGUGAAGAAGGCCUUCGGGUUGUAAAGCCCUUUUGUUGGGAAAGAAAAGCAGCAGGUUAAUACCCCGCUGUUCUGACGGUACCCAAAGAAUAAGCACCGGCUAACUUCGU